This is a non-coding RNA of Ceratotherium simum simum (southern white rhinoceros), 366 nucleotides long. Lineage: Eukaryota; Metazoa; Chordata; Mammalia; Perissodactyla; Rhinocerotidae. The record is from RefSeq and is a predicted model, not a curated record.
CUGAGCAGAAAGUUUUUAUGGAAGAAUUGUCGCAGGUAUCGAUGACCUUCAAGUACUUCAUCGUGACCUUCACUUGGGAGGAGUGGGGGCAACUGGACGAAGCCCAGAGGACCCUAUAUCGGGAGGUAAUGCUGGAGACCUGCGGGAUCCUGAUCUCACUGGGGUAUCCUGUUCCCACACCAGAACUGAUCCACAUGCUGGAGAAUUAGCAAGAUCUAUAGAUGGUGAAGAGAGGCCUCUCCUAAAGUUCCUGUCCAGAUGCACCUCUCUCUCAGAUCCUCAUUUCUCCUGUCGUUGAAGAUCUUUCAACUGGGAUCACUUCCAUCAUCCUUAAAUAGAAUAUCCUUAGAUAAGAAUUUCGUUUUA